UACGUAGGUGGCAAGCGUUGUCUGGAUUUACUGGGCGUAAAGAGCGCGCAGGCGGUCGUUCAAGUCGCGUGUGAAAGCCCCCGGCUCAACUGGGGAGGGUCACGCGAUACUGAUCGACUCGAAGGCAGGAGAGGGUAGUGGAAUUCCCGGUGUAGUGGUGAAAUGCGCAGAUAUCGGGAAGAACACCUAUGGCGAAGGCAGCUCUCUGGGACGGUACUGACGCUGAGACGCGAAAGCGUGGGGAGCGAACAGG
Molecule: ribosomal RNA, 253 nt
Filed under: uncultured bacterium
Lineage: Bacteria
Description: partial 16S ribosomal RNA
Rfam family: Bacterial small subunit ribosomal RNA
Source: RNAcentral